AAUACAAUUAUUUUUCACUCGUUAACAAACAAUCGUAGUUAAUUGUUGUUUCUGUCAUUUCGCAACGCGCAACAAUUAUAAAUCGAUACAUUCGAUUAUACAUUCGAUGAUCGUUUACCAACAACCUGAACUGGAAAUUCGAGAGAAUCGGAAAGUACAUAUUCGACCGGUAUCGGGGGAGGUUUCGAUAUUUUCAUUGGAUACGAAAUCUCGAAAGUCGAUUCGAUACACUACACGUUCGUACACACGGUCUAACUUCGAAUCGGUUUAGCGAAAAUCGGAAAUGUUUGUACGUUACUAAUAGUUCAAAUUGAUAAAUUUGCAAAUUUAUCAAGGCCUCGUCCAAAGUUUGCCAUCUUUCCUCGUGAAAAUUUUGACGGUUUAGGGGUACGCAUACUAUCGUGUACAAUUUUACAACCAAUAAUCGACAUUUAUAUUAACAAACCGAAAGCAGAAAGAUUAGAACCAAGGAGAAAUACUCGUGACUAGAUGUAUCAGUGGCGUGAUAGGUGAAAGGUUCAAUGAAUGUUGGCAGCUCCCUCUCGAGAUAUAUCGAGAAUCCCUUUUUUUUCAACUAAUCGAAAAGGUUCGAUUCGAGAAUUCAUCUUCGGUUUUAUUCCAGAUUACGAACAGCGAAAGAUUUUCAACAGAAAUUUCGUAGAAUCGGUGAUUUCUUAAUUCAUGAAAAUCAGUAACAAUAUUCGAACAUCGAGAAAAAUUCUCUUUCUCCGCAAGUUUAUUAGCAUGUUAGAAUCGAAACAUCACGUUCUAGGAUUCAAUUUGUCUAUACAGCUUAUAAUACGAAAUAAUGACAGGAAGAGGUAUAUAAACACAUGUAUUUAAUUCGUCGAUUCAGAAAAAAAAGAAAGAAAAACCACCUACCAUGUACCAAAGAUAAAACGGUACAGACUGGCACCGAUUAAAUCUUAACGGAAUCUAGCUAGAAUCGCUUAUCUAGCAGGUAUAUAUCUAGCUGCCGUAUAUGAGCAUCCUUUCAAGGAUAACAUCGACAGGAUGUUUAAGCCUUUCUCGUUCGAUGACGUAUCCUCAAUAAUAUUGGCUUUCAACUACAGAAGCACAAGGACGGCAUCUGAAUCCGUACGAAACAAUGUUCCGGAAUUCGAAUAGAAUCGUAGCCAAGAUGAACCGUAUCAUCAGAGGCCGAAAUUGGCAACAGUUUGCGACGAACGGUGUAAAACAAAUUGAAAAAAAAAAAACGGAAAAGAAAACGCGAAGAUAAAUGCAAGAAAAAAAAGUAUAAACAUCUUCGUUUCAUAUCAACGCACGCGCUUCGAAGGUAUUUUAAUAUUUCUCGUCACGAAUUACAGAGAAACGUGUCCUCGGUAAGAAAACAGAUGGUCCUUUGGAGACAACCAUUCGGACGACCGUCAUCGGAGGUUGCGAAUUUUCUCAUCUGUCUGUGGCCGCGCAUCAUGAACGGAGGUGCGCUGUGUCGCCAGCAAGAGAAACGGAGAAAGACAACGAACGAGUCAGAGUGAGACGCAUCGAGAAAAGAGAAGAACGGGGAGACAGAGAUGGAGUGCACCGUUCGUACCAGGCGGUGCGCCCUGGUACCAACGGCACGCCGUGUCGGUAGACUCGGCCAGACUUAUGUUAGCGAGACGCAAUCAGGAGUCACGGAGAGUCACGGAGAGUCAUGGAGAGUCACGGAGAGUCGCGGAGAGUCUAGGAGGGGAAUAAGCCAGAGAGAAGUGCGCUCGCCUACCUUCGUUUCUCGCCGCAAUCUUUUUUGUACGAUCCUCUCGCGACCUUCUCUAGCCAACAGACUCGAUAGAUACUCUCCUUAUGAGAAAAUCUUCACUCUCUUCGAGCUCGACACGAGGUCGAAUGAAUCAUCAGCGACAUAAACCGAGAAUCUGAAAGAGAAAGAUCGAACGUUGUUCUAUCGAGACUUCCAUCUUAAAAAGAACUCGCGAAGCGAUCCACAAUGUUGACUCGACGAAGAAAAAAGGCUAAAAGGCAUAACGAUGUAUCCGAACAGGCCGUAAUUCGUGUCCAAGAUGGAAUCGAAGAAUCUUUAAUGUCGUGUAACGGGUGACCGAUAAAUGCAACCUUGUCCCGAUUCUGCCUGACCAAUGUAGAUUCUCCCGAUGAAAGAACGAUGACCCGAAAACUUUGUCUCGUCGAACAUCAAAACGAGAAUUUAAGAAAUCUCGGUUCCAAAAGACCGAUGACUGAAGCUGGUAUCGCGACAUACAAAGCGUGCUGGAGGACAUAGAAACAAAGAAAUAACAACUGCGAGAAAGAGAAGAAAAGAGGAGAAAAGUAUAGAGAAGGCAGAAGGAGAACGUAGAAUCGGGGAUGCAUGGUCCCGCUAUCCGGUCGGCCGCUAAGCCGAGGUCAAUGAACCUCGGCCCGCCUACCGACUUUACCUGCCAGCCUCGAACCUGCCAACCUGGCUAACUCGCUCCACUCCAAAGGAAGAAAAAUAUGACUUUCGAACGAUAAAAAGAGUUUUAGGACAAAACGCCGACUACAUUUUAUUCGAGUCAUUCAUAUUAGAAAUUUGAUCGCAGAACGCGAAGAAGAAGACGAUUUUAUAAGACGAUAUCGAAGACAAACUAUGAAUUCUCCAUAAACCGCUGAACUUGAUCUACUGUGAUACGGCGAACCUUUCACGAGUUCAGAGAAGUCCAUCGACCUUGAACUGGAGGGAUACAGGAAAAAACAUCUUUAAAACAAACAAGAUCUCGAUACUCGAAACUUUUGCCUCUUACACAAGCAAUAUUUCAAACGCGGAAUAGAAUUAUUUUUAUAAUUUCUCUUCUAACGCGUUCAAAUAAUUGCACAGACGAAUCUAAUCGCGGCUUAGCUAUGGAUUAAAUUCUUUAAUCUUUAUGCUAAUCAGCUAUCCAUAUUUACAGACACAACUUGGCAACUACUGCCGACAAUAACAGUUUAUGAUCCGUUCGCGUAAACUCGUCGAACAAGAAUGAGUUAAUUCUUGGUUUUCAACUUCGAUAUCGCUUCCAUUCAAUAGUUUCAUUUCGCAAACGUUUUAUGUGUUUACAGAAUCCUUAUGCGAUCUAGUGGCUGAACAGAACGCUUUGAAACGUAAAAUUGUCGUUAUUCGUCUAAGAAAAUUGAUAUUCGACAGUGGGAAUAUGGAUUAAACAAUUCCAUCGACUUGGCCAAGCGAAAAGUUCCGAUACGCGUGGUCUUCUUCAUUUUUUUCCUCGAGGUCAAAGGAAACGAUGUUUCCUGAAUACACAAGAGGGAUAGCGGUAAAUCGAUGGAAAAUUAAACUCGUGAUCGUGGGGAAAGGUUAAUGAAAUCAUUCGGAAUCUGUUCAUUAAAAUUUCGAACAGUAAUUCCAGGUUAUUAUUGCAAAAGCGAGUAACGAGGCUGGUAGAUCCUCCUGUACGGUGCAUGUGCAGUUAUUAGUACGAGAAAAAGAAGUGGCACGAAUCAGUGGGUCGAUGAAACCCAAGAACCUUGCACUCAACAGUUGCCUGAGUUUGUAAGCUGAUUCCUUAUUUCUUCUUCCAAAGAAGGAGAAAGUUCUUCUUCUGUUGAUUAACAGGGAGACAACUUGAAUGCGUACACUUGAAAUUUUCAUACCUGCUUUUUUUCUUUUUACGGUUAAGCAACAGUAACGUAACGAUGAAAACUUCGAUAAAAUCCUAUCUGGAACGUGGAAGAAGCACAGGGAAUAGGAAUCAUCGAGAAUUCGGAGCAUUCUGUUGAUCAUGUUUACUACAAGUUCGAAAAACCGGUUUUCCUCUCACCAUAAAACUUGGACCUGUGGAUGGUGCAUUAGACGCUCCGUGUUACGGUAGCUCUCGAUCGUAUCGAUCAUUUCAUUAUUUCCAAUCGAACAUUGGAUCUAACAGUAAGUAUAUUUAAAAAGUUUUUAUUCUUCGUUACAAUAUUAAUUAAAAGAAGAAAAAAGAAAACAAAUCCAAAUGGUAACUUUAAGUGUAAAAUGAAAUGAUGUCAUUCGAAUUCUUCGCAAUAAAUCAUCGAGGAAUUAAAACAAUUCGAUCGCUUACCUACUUUUUUCACGUUACUUCUGCGCUGAUUAAAAUUUCUUUUCUUCUUUCAAUGUACAUUUACAUGUAAAGUGCGUAUGCAUAUACGUACAUGAUUUGAUUAAUCGUCGAAAAAUGGCUAUUUUUACAACAGACUAGUAUGCAGGUGUUGUAUAUUUCGCUUCGGUCGAUCGAGCCAAACCGUUCCUGUAUCCACGACAUAAUGAUCAAUUCAGGUAAAUAACUGCAUUGUGUCCGUGCAAGAAAGAUGAACGGUAAUUCGUUCACUGCUAAAUUUAACUUCCCGUACUCGGAAAGGUCAACACUUUACAUUUUACAGAAGUUCACCUUCGAAUCUCGAGGUCAAUGUUUAUUGUCUUCUUUUUCCCUCGUGCAUCGCUUAAUGUUCUUACUUAAAAUAAAUAAGAACAGGACAUUUUUCCCAUCGCAAAAGUCUGCUUGUUCGUAUUCAAAAUUUAUGCGACUAUUUUACAUGAGCUAAGACGGUAUAAAAAAAUAAACAUAAUCAAUUGAAUUUUGUCAAAAAGUCUAUACUGUCCAUUAACUUUCGACUCCUGGUGACUUUUAGAGCGCUAAGUAUUAAGAUCUCUCUAGUUGUAUAAAAGAAAAGUCGGGCGACAGCGUGUGUAACGGUAAAUUCAACUUGAUUCGUUAACUGCAUUCCCAUGCGAGGUGGGAUUUUUGAAAAGUCGGACGUUCGACGAAAACCACGCGAUAAGUCGCACACCUAGCGGGAAGCGGAGAAAGCAGCACCCAGCGGAUGAAAAACCGACCACGAUCUCAACGUAACUUGGCGUUUUUAACAGCAAAACAGUCGUUAGAAUUUACAAACCCCAAGAAAACUAGUCGAUAUUAUUGACAGAAGGAUACAGGUAUACAAUGGAGUAAAUUCGAUCGUUCGAAAGCUUGAAUAUUCGGAACAUUUCUAAACGCGCAGCUCGUUCAAACGCGGGGCUCCCCUUUUAAGCGUGGGAUCUGGCAAAAGGCGGCACGUUUUCGACCGGAGAAUGAUAAAGGCCUUGAAAGGGUUCACCAAAGUAAUUUCCACGAGUUUUUUCUAUAUCGCAACAUUUCACGAUUUUCUCGCAUAACAAUGCGAGCUAUGUCGAACGAAAAAAUCGUGUACCUAAGAAUACACCUGCAUUCGAAGAAAGAGGAAAAGAGAAUCAAUUGUCCUUAGUUCACGAAAGCAAACAAAUUUCUAUUCAUCCGUUUGAACAAAGGCAAGUGAGAGUACACAUCUAACUUUACAGAAUUAGUAAUUAACUUGAAUGUACACGAAGCAGUGGAAUUAACAAACGUUCAGCAUUUCUUAUUACAGUAUUGUUCUGUUGUUCGGCGAAAGGGAAAUAACACACAGGGCUGUAAUCAAUUGUUUUUCAUCUAAAGCAGGUACAUACAUAUACUUUCCUACGAUGUACACAUUUUACAGGAACAUGCAAUCGUAACAUUUAACUAUCGAACGAUUCGAUAUUUGAUAAAUUAAUAUCGAAAAUCAUUGAUUCUCUUGCGCGUAAACCUGAAUUCCCUUACCUAAUCUGAUGGCGGCAACCUGUGCAAUCCCGACUAACACUAGUAUCAGCGGAAAUCCGUCGAGGAGCGAGUACAAAG
Molecule: long non-coding RNA, 5624 nt
Filed under: Megachile rotundata (alfalfa leafcutting bee)
Lineage: Eukaryota; Metazoa; Arthropoda; Insecta; Hymenoptera; Megachilidae
Description: uncharacterized LOC105662985, transcript variant X17
Source: RNAcentral